RNAcentral lists this ribosomal RNA (303 nucleotides) under Salmonella enterica subsp. enterica serovar Enteritidis. Its description in RNAcentral is "partial 23S ribosomal RNA". It matches the Rfam family "Bacterial large subunit ribosomal RNA", at positions 219 to 560 of the family's 2925-position model. The record is from RNAcentral. Lineage: Bacteria; Pseudomonadati; Pseudomonadota; Gammaproteobacteria; Enterobacterales; Enterobacteriaceae.
AAGAAAUCAACCGAGAUUCCCCCAGUAGCGGCGAGCGAACGGGGAGGAGCCCAGAGCCUGAAUCAGCAUGUGUGUUAGUGGAAGCGUCUGGAAAGGCGCGCGAUACAGGGUGAGAGCCCCGUACACAAAAGCGCAUAUGCUGUGAGCUCGAUGAGUAGGGCGGGACACGUGGUAUCCUGUCUGAAUAUGGGGGGACCAUCCUCCAAGGCUAAAUACUCCUGACUGACCGAUAGUGAACCAGUACCGUGAGGGAAAGGCGAAAAGAACCCCGGCGAGGGGAGUGAAACAGAACCUGAAACCGUG